Molecule: ribosomal RNA, 518 nt
Filed under: Pasiphaea planidorsalis
Lineage: Eukaryota; Metazoa; Arthropoda; Malacostraca; Decapoda; Pasiphaeidae
Description: partial 16S ribosomal RNA
Rfam family: Bacterial large subunit ribosomal RNA
Source: RNAcentral
GUCCGUAUGAGUAAAAGAUUUAAGGUUUGACCUGCCCACUGAUAAGUUUGAAGGGCCGCAGUAAUGUAACUGUGUAAAGGUAGCGUAAUCAAUAGUCUUUUAAAAGAAGGCCAGAAUGAAAGGUCGGACAAAAGAUAAUCUGUCUUUUUUGUAAAAAUUGAAUUUUACUUUUAAGUGAAAAGGCUUAAAUGGAUUUAGGGGACGAUAAGACCCUAUAAAACUUUAUAAGAUAUAGGCUGUAUAAUAAAUUAUGAUAUAUAUUUAUGGAUUUAUAUUUUUUUUAAUUGGGGAGAUGAAGAUAAAAAAAAACAGUAACUGUUUAAAGUUUAAGAUAUUAUAAAUAGGAGAAAUGAACCUUUAUUAAGGAGUAAAAGGAGAAGUUACUUUAGGGAUAACAGCGUAAUAUUUUUUUUGGAGAGCUCUUAUCGAUGAAAGUAGUUGCGACCUCGAUGUUGAAUUAAGAUUGAAAUUAGGGAGCAGUAUUUUUAAUGUUAAGUCUGUUCGACUUUUAAUAUCUU